AGUGAACGCUGGCGGCGUGCUUAACACAUGCAAGUCGAACGAGAACGGAAUAUAGCUUGCUAUAUUUGUCAGCUAAGUGGCGCACGGGUGAGUAAUGUAUAGAUAACCUGCCCUUAAGAAAGGAAUAACAGUUGGAAACGACUGCUAAUGCCCUAUAUGCCUUUAAUACAUAAGUAUGCAAGGGAAACGCUUUAGUGCUUAAGGAUGGGUCUGUAUGGUAUCAGCUUGUUGGUGAGGUAAUGGCUCACCAAGGCUAUGACGCCUAACUGGUUUGAGAGGCUGAGCAGUCACACUGGAACUGAGACACGGUCCAGACGCCUACGGGAGGCAGCAGUGGGGAAUAUUGCACAAUGGACGAAAGUCUGAUGCAGCAACGCCGCGUGGAGGAUGACACAUUUCGGUGCGUAAACUCCUUUUAUAUAGGAAGAUAAUGACGGUACUAUAUGAAUAAGCACCGGCUAACUCCGUGCCAGCAGCCGCCGUAA
This 485-nucleotide ribosomal RNA is filed under the name uncultured bacterium. RNAcentral describes it as "partial 16S ribosomal RNA". It matches the Rfam family "Bacterial small subunit ribosomal RNA", at positions 29 to 523 of the family's 1533-position model. The record is from RNAcentral.